AGCAAACCGUCUUUCUCUCCGGCAACGGCACCAUAAAUGCUUGUUGAUAUUUGGUAACGCAAUCAGAAAUUAAUCCACAAGCGCACGGAUAUCUGUGAGCACUUCACCCGGGAUGUUAUCCAGAGUAUCGUAUUUAUAUUUUUACCACUAGGAGAAAGUGUGCAUCUGACUAACCCAGUCUAUUACUACUAACCUUUAGACUACAACCACUAUGACUCGAUGUGAGUGAUAUAUAGAGAAGACUACAACCGCACUCUCGUUCAAACCUUGGUAAGGAUGAUCUACUGUUCUGUUGGGGAGGCUCAUGGAAUCUAGACACCAUAGAGGAUAUUCGACCCGCACCUAUAAACCCUAUCGAGCC
RNAcentral lists this long non-coding RNA (361 nucleotides) under Sorghum bicolor (sorghum). Its description in RNAcentral is "long non-coding RNA (SBIC_LNC006645)". The record is from RNAcentral. Lineage: Eukaryota; Viridiplantae; Streptophyta; Magnoliopsida; Poales; Poaceae.